GCGAGAGUGGCGAAAUUGGCAGACGCGCUAGACUUAGGAUCUAGUGUCCUCACGGACUUGGGGGUUCGAGUCCCCCCUCUCGCA
RNAcentral lists this transfer RNA (84 nucleotides) under Candidatus Zhuqueibacterota bacterium RBG_16_48_16. RNAcentral describes it as "candidate division KSB1 bacterium RBG_16_48_16 tRNA-Leu". It matches the Rfam family "tRNA". Rfam says of the family: Transfer RNA (tRNA) molecules are approximately 80 nucleotides in length. Lineage: Bacteria; Pseudomonadati. The record is from RNAcentral.